This 734-nucleotide long non-coding RNA is filed under the name Olea europaea subsp. europaea. Lineage: Eukaryota; Viridiplantae; Streptophyta; Magnoliopsida; Lamiales; Oleaceae. The record is from RNAcentral.
CUCCUCAAUGCAUAGUAUUAUUCAAAUGCAAAUUAUCUUCUAAUUUAAAAAGAAAAAAGGCUAUAGCAGAAUUAUAAUCUCCAUUGAAAGUAGCAAUAAAACAACAAAUAUUGGACAAACAAUGAAUCACUUACAGGACAUGAGGUAGGACAGUCCAACAACGCAUAUGAUAAAAAACACACUUCUCUUCUUAGCUUCCUCCACGAGGUCACGGACGCUAACCGAUUGUCUAACAGUGCUCAUUUUCUGACCUCCACUCUUCAACACCAGCCUAAAAAACUCAUCAAAAUUUAAUUGCAAUCAAAUCAAUAUCGCCCAAAAGUUUCCAACAGUUCUGAACCAAUUAGUUCCUCAAAACCACGAUUCAGUCAAUAAUUCGCGAAAUUUCCAAAAAGAAAGUGCAACUAAAUCGUCAAUGGCGGAAGCAAAAUUAGGCCGCGAAGUGAUUGAACAAAAAUUUUAAUUGGGCAAGUAUGUGCUGCCAAUUCAACGCCCGGACAGAGAUCAAUGGGAUUACUGUGUGUGUAUAUAAAAAUAAAAAUUAAAAAAAAUGUGAGAAAAAAGUGAAUUUGGGUAGGUGUAUUUCUCACUCUAAAAGAGAAAUUACACCGUUGAAUUGAAGAAUUGCUGAGAACUGGGAGAUUUGGUUUGAAAUAUACUUAUUACUGCCAAAACCCAAAAAUCAUCAAUUAUGUAGAUGUUGACACACGACGAGGUACGUUGAAAGGUACGCU